UUUGGUGGAGGCACCCAGCUCAUCGUUGAUUUGGGAGUGGUGCAGCCCACGCUGAGCGUCCUCCCUCCCUCCAGAGUGGAGCUGGAGCAGGGCAGUGCUACACUAGUGUGUGUGGCCAGUGGGGGCUUCCCCUCAGACUGGAAGCUUGGCUGGAAGGUGGGGGGCAGCAGCAGGUCUGGGGGGGUGUCUGAUAGCCUGGGGGUCCUGGGGAAAGAUGGCCACUACAGCUGGACCAGCACCUUGACCCUCCCUGCAGACCAAUGGAGGAAGGCGGGCUCAGUGAGCUGUGAGGCCAGUAAGAAUGGCCAGACGCAGCCUGUCACUCAAACCCUGAAUCCUGGAGAGUGUUCAGAGUAGAGAGGCUCCAGCAUGGAGGUACUGGAGGAUACAGAUCUCCUCUGACACGUCUGCUU
This is a non-coding RNA of Gadus chalcogrammus (walleye pollock), 413 nucleotides long. The record is from the annotation of a RefSeq genome assembly. NCBI's taxonomy places the organism in Eukaryota, Metazoa, Chordata, Actinopteri, Gadiformes, Gadidae.